AUGGACACGCCGGUACCAGAGCACGUUGCCUUUGCCAUCGAGCUCCUCGUCCAGAAUGCAGCCGAUCUCCCCGGCAGCCCCGGGCUCCACGAAGAGGAUGGGCUGGGGCUGCUGCAGCACCAGCAGUGCUGCCGGCGCUGCAGGGACCGACCGGGGGCUCAUUCACCGCCUGCCCCCCAAGCCCAGCCCGUGCUCCCACCACCCAGGGCGUACUUGGAAAGCGAGAGGACCCCCUAUGCCCAGCCCCUGCCCCGAUGCUCACCCAGACAGAGCAGCAGCAGCCCCGUGGCCAGCAGCGCCUUCGCGCAGGAGAAACCCAGGGGUGCCAUCGUCGCGCUCGUCCCAGGCCUUCUGCAGGGCGGCCGAGUGCACCGGGACCUGAGGCUGCCCGAAGUGCGGGGCCCCGGCAGCGAAGCCCCCCAGCCGUGUGGACACGGUGUCCCCACGAAGGACACGGUGUCCCCACGAAGGACGCGGUGUCCCCACGAGGGAUGCGUCCUCCCCACACGCCGCUGCCGGCAGCUGUGGGGCGAGUCGCUGGGUGCAGAGCUCAUGUCAGCUUGCUGGCACGGACCCACAUCCGGUAGGAAAAUUUGGGUUUUAACCAUUUCUGUGAUGCUCAGGGUCGGAGGCGGCCCCUCAGAGGCCCCGCGACGCCCUCUGAUGCCCACACCCAAAUACUCGACACGAAGGAAGAAGCCAGCCCCAGCGCUGGGCACUACAAACCACAGCGCACCGUGCCGCCGCUCGUGCUUUGGGGAAACCGCAGCGCAGGGGCUGGAGAGCUGCCUCGGGGCGGGGGUGGCUGCACCCCCAGCCCCGGCCCCCGCAGCCAUCCUCACAUCAGCCAAAGUGACCUUAACGGUGACGUUCAAAGGGCCGGGGACUGAAGGCGAGAGGCAACUUUGGUCCCCAUCCCCCUGCCCUGCUUUCCUGUUGCGGUUCGGCAAACGUGGCUCUUUGCUAAAGGGGCGCCGAACUUUGGCGACAAAAACCUUCAAACCCAACGGUUUGCUGGCAGCGGAGUGGGGGGGCAGGGGUUCUGUGCGAAUAAACAGCAGAGAAGUGACAAAAUCAACAAGGCGAGGCUGA
This 1092-nucleotide long non-coding RNA is filed under the name Anser cygnoides (Swan goose). Its description in RNAcentral is "lncRNA (ENSACDG00005002168.1)". The record is from RNAcentral. Lineage: Eukaryota; Metazoa; Chordata; Aves; Anseriformes; Anatidae.